Microcebus murinus (gray mouse lemur) is the source of this 477-nucleotide non-coding RNA. The record is from the annotation of a RefSeq genome assembly. Lineage: Eukaryota; Metazoa; Chordata; Mammalia; Primates; Cheirogaleidae.
AUGAGGCUCCCUGCUCAGCUCCUGGGGCUGCUGGUGCUCUGGGUCCCUGGAUCCAGUGGUGAUGUUGUGAUGACCCAGACUCCCCUGUCCCUGUCUGUCACCCCUGGAGAGUCGGCCUCCAUCUCCUGCAGGGCUAGUCAGAGCAUCCAAGACAGUGAUGGAAACACCUAUUUGAAUUGGUUCCUGCAGAAGCCAGGCCAACCUCCAAGGCGCCUGAUUCAUAAGGUUUCCAACCGGGACUCUGGGGUCUCAGACGGGUUCAGUGGCAGUGGGUCAGGGACAGAUUUCACACUGAAAAUCAGCAGGGUGGAGGCUGAGGAUGUGGGAGUGUAUUACUGCAUGCAAGCUUCAUAUUUUCCUUGCACAGUGAUACAGCCCCAAACACAAACCUCUAUGCUUGGGGUGGCCCAGCUGCCCAAAUGUGUUGUUUGUCUGGUGACAGCUCAGCAGAAUUUCUGGCUGUAUAAGAGAAUGUAG